CUCAUUCUGAAUGUGAAACACUUUUCAGCAAUACAUGAAAGAACAAUGAGAAAUAGCACUGGCAAAAACCCUUCAAGUUUUCCAUUUUAAUAAGAAAAACUUACGCAAAUAAAAGUCAUUGAUAGUGAAAAUGAAAGCCUUUACUUACUAGGAAUAAUUUUGAAUGUGCUUUACCACUAGCUGUAGAGAUAAACAUCCGUUUGUGGCGCACAUGAUUUAUCUGAGCUUUCCAUCUUGACUGAUUUUGUGAGCCUUCAGUCUGAAGCUUGAGCCAUUUCCUCAUUCAUCCCAUGGUUUCGCUCAACCGUUAUUUUACUGGGGUCUUGGUUCUAGUAAACUGUUCUUAUUGUCUGCCUCUACGUAGAUCAGCAAAGGACCAUGAUGCCUUGAGUCUUCUUCCAGAAGCAAAUCAUAAGAAAAAAAGAUCAAGUGGGCAGGAGAUACAUGAGGAAACGGACACAGACCCUACCAGAGAGAAAGGUUUGAGCUCUGGAUGCCUGAGUCUCACACCAUCAGAACAAAGUAUGGCAUACACCCACGGUACUCAGAACAACAGCGAUGCUUUGAGUUCUACAAAGAUCUCAACCGCACAGAAUUCAUUAUCAUGAACUACUCUAUUAUCAUCGUUAUAAUGACAACAGUUGUGACCCUCUUUCUGAUCCAGAUGGCUGUCAUUGUUCAACUGAUGAAGGCUCUUUGGCCUGAUGUGUGGGCCCAUCAAGACUAUAGAGCCCAAAUCAAGAGUUUCUUCUUCCUCCUAGUAAUAGUGGUCUGUUUUAUGCCCCAUCAUGUAUUCAGGGUAUACUUUAUUCAAAAUUAUCCAGAGAGAAAAGAUUCUGAGUUAGUUCUUUAUAAUGAAAUUUGUGUUGCUUUAACUACUGUCUGUUGCCUGGAUAUGCUGUGUUUUGUAAGUGGAGUGAUCCACUAAGCUUUCCUAUGUUACUGCUUGGUAAUCAGUUUUCCUACCAUUAUGACAAAAUAAGUUUCAAUUGAAUGCGUGCUGCUGCAAUUUCAAACUUUUUCAAAAUUUCUGUUCUUAAUCAUCAUUAAAAUUAUUUUUUACCAAAAAGGUAAGCAUUGAUUGUUCCACUCUCCUUAAAGAGCUAUUAAUGUUACCAGUUCUACAUUUACCACAGAAUAUGUUCAAUCUCUUAUUAGCCUUAUACAAAUUGGCCAUCUCAUCCCUUUCAGACUCAGCACCUAUCUUUUUUUCAUGCAGUACUUACUGCAGCUAAGCACAGCUAUUGGUUUCCCUGUACUUGCCAGACAUUUCCUCUCACGAGUUCUGAUUCUAGAAUGUUCUUUCCCUCCAUUUCCAAACUAUCUAUUCAAGACCCAGAGAACCUGAAGGCAGAAACUCGA
RNAcentral lists this long non-coding RNA (1362 nucleotides) under Microcebus murinus (gray mouse lemur). RNAcentral describes it as "lncRNA (ENSMICG00000048268.1)". Lineage: Eukaryota; Metazoa; Chordata; Mammalia; Primates; Cheirogaleidae. The record is from RNAcentral.